RNAcentral lists this ribosomal RNA (299 nucleotides) under Methylobacterium sp. 275MFSha3.1. Its description in RNAcentral is "16S rRNA. Bacterial SSU". It matches the Rfam family "Bacterial small subunit ribosomal RNA", at positions 19 to 346 of the family's 1533-position model. RNAcentral also lists the same sequence under 1 other name. The record is from RNAcentral. Lineage: Bacteria; Pseudomonadati; Pseudomonadota; Alphaproteobacteria; Hyphomicrobiales; Methylobacteriaceae.
CUGGCUCAGAGCGAACGCUGGCGGCAGGCUUAACACAUGCAAGUCGAGCGGGCCCUUCGGGGUCAGCGGCGGACGGGUGAGUAACGCGUGGGAACGUGCCUUCUGGUUCGGAAUAACCCUGGGAAACUAGGGCUAAUACCGGAUACGCCCUUAUGGGGAAAGGUUUACUGCCGGAAGAUCGGCCCGCGUCUGAUUAGCUAGUUGGUGGGGUAACGGCCUACCAAGGCGACGAUCAGUAGCUGGUCUGAGAGGAUGAUCAGCCACACUGGGACUGAGACACGGCCCAGACUCCUACGGGA